AACUUUUGGCAACGGAUCACUUGGCUCUCGCAUCGAUGAAGAACCCAGCGAAAUGCGAUAAGUAAUGUGAAUUGCAGAAUUCAGUGAAUUAUCGAAUCUUUGAACGCACCUUGCACCCUUUGGCAUUCCGAAGGGUAUGCUCGUUUGAGUGUCAUUGUACUCUCACACUCCCAAUGCUUUUGGAUUGGGAGCGGUGGACUUGGGUGUUGCUGCUUUACGGUGGCUCGCCUCAAAUGGAGUAGUGCAACUCUUGGUUGGACAUAGUACGGCGUGAUAAGUGUCUUCGCCGGCGCCUCACUAGAGGGUGGCUGAUCAGGAGCUCUGUGCUUCAAACCGUCUUCGGACAAUCUCUGACAACUUGACCUCAAAUCGAGUAGGACUACCCGCUGAACUUAAGCAUAUCAAUAAGCGGAGGCU
Molecule: unclassified non-coding RNA, 417 nt
Filed under: uncultured Sebacinaceae
Lineage: Eukaryota; Fungi; Basidiomycota; Agaricomycetes; Sebacinales; Sebacinaceae
Description: sequence contains ITS2
Rfam family: 5.8S ribosomal RNA (bases 1-154)
Source: RNAcentral